ACUAGACCAGAGCCCCUGGCUCACUGGGCCCAGUGCGGUCGCACUGUUUGCCCGGCCUAUGGGCCGGUCCUAUGGAUGGUCCCAUCCGAAGAUGUCCAGCGCCGGCCUCCACGUCGACUUGGCUACAGGCAAGGCCUUCGUGCACCACUACAAGCCGGCACCGUCCUGUAGAGGGAGGCAGCGGCGGGCGACCUAAGGAGAUCCGGCCUCAUCUUCUUUUUUCUAGAUGUCAUCUCCAUCGUCAGACCUCGCCGGUUCCCUCCGCAACACAGGCGACAAGCUCAUCGUCAUUGACUUCUUUUGUCCACUGUCGUGGUGCCAAUCGCACUCUCCACCCUAAGUUGAUUGUUCACUGUUGUAAUAUGACUUGAGGAUGGCCGUUGCCACGGAGCAGAGGGAGGUGAGUUUAGCGGGAGCAGUCCCUCCGCAGAAAACAAGAAAUCCUGAAACUUGCGAUAUUAAGAAGGUUAGCUGCGGUAAGGGUGGAGCCGCACUGGGUCUGCAUCUCGAAGAAUAAUUUCCACUCAGUUCAUUAUCGGCGAGGCCGCCAUUCUUCGCCUGGGGUGCCUGCGCAUGGCGGGCAGACUGGGUCCGCAUCUCGUGGUCAUGGGCGCGGCCAUUGCGGUUCUGUCUUUGGUUGCUGUCCCUUCUUUGCUCCUUGCUUGGUUGGAUCGGCCUGCUGUUGUGGCUUUGUCAUUGGAAACUGAUGCAUAAUUCAUUCUUCGAAGCUGAUGCAAGGGAGGCGGGAGAUUUGGUUGGGCAAGUGUCCAGUGGUUUCUGCACCGUCGUCGUUUACUUAUUCGAGUUAUUGUGCUCCUGGGCCUUAUGUGGAUUAUGAUGAUUAUUGGCCUGAUGAUUGGCCUCUUCCGAGUGGUGUUUUUAUUGAUGAUGACGGUUAUUUUGAUCCAUCUACUUCUGUCGGCGAUUUGUCUGAUUGUCUCGGCUCUCCGUGGUUGGCCAUGGUACUUCAGCGGAUGGCUUCCGUGCCUUUGCAUUUUCCUUAGCUAUUGCCCUUGUGGUAAUGUAGGAAAUUUAAAAAACAGGGUUUAGGUCUUAGUGACAAAAACAAGCGACUAAUGUUCAGCAUACAAUCUAGAUAGCCAUCCUUGGUCACGGUCAUACAUGUCUUGCAGUAUGGAUUCAACCCUUCAAAAUAAAUGUCAUUAGUUGGAUGCAGCUUUUUAGGGGCCAUUCUUGUGUUCUUGAAUCCAACUUUAAGUUUACAUCUGUACAUGCUCGUGAGGAACAUGAACCAACUCGAUUUGUUGUUUCUCUACCCAAUUAAGCUUUUAAUAUCCCCCCUCAUUUAUCUUACAUAAUAAUGAUGCUGUUGAAUUCGUUGUUUACAAUAGUAUAUGGUUGCUCAACAUGUUAAAUAAGGCCCACAGUGGCAUGAUAUUCAUUUUGGUUACUAAGCUUUGCAUUCUUUAUUAAUAGAAUUAUGGUAAAAGUCGUUGCUCGCUGUCCAUUCACUUUCUAUAGUGGAACAUUCCUGUGAAUAUGCACACAUUUUUUGUAGAUUAUUUCUUUCGUUCUAUUGAAUUGUUAUAAGAUGCAUUUAGGGUACAAGAAUAGUUUGCUUCCUUGGUUAUUGGGACCAGCUGACACUUUAGUGUUCUUUUGGUUCUGAAAUUAGCAGGAACAGACAUGUUUGUUGCAUUAUCUCAGCCUAAUGCUAUGCUUAAUAAGAUUGAUCCUCUUUGCAAGGUGAACUAUUAUACCUUAUGUGAGAAGAUAUUCAUGUAUUGUUCCAUAGAUAAUGCAAUUUAUAUUUAUCUCUUUCACUAUUCAUGCAGACCUCCGGUAACAAAAAAAAGAUUCACUUUUUAUGGAAUGAUGGUUAUUAAAUUUUCUUGGUAACUCAUGCAACAUUUUCAGCAUGCCUCGAUGCAAUAUAUAGUCAGGUGCAGUGUGAUUGAUUUUAUUUAUGGCUUAGUGAUCUUUCCCUGGUCUGGGUUUGUGGAUUUUCGUUGCUGCAGAAAAAAAUUAAGAUGGUUAUUAAUAUCAAGGUGUUUAUUUCUGUAUUCACACUGUAACUGGUUGGAGAAGAAAAUAUUUAUUGAAGCUGGCCAAUGCAAUGCUAUAUUUUCACUACUACAAAUGUCAAAAUGUAUAAGAUCCAUAAUAAUGCCAAUUUUACUAAUGCAUUUCUUUUGUGGGAUGUUGCUUCUUCACCAUCUUGACAACAAUUGUUUUCCAUUUUACAUGCAGGUAUGCAUAAUUCUUCUAGAUAGCAAUCAGAUCUUGCUUAGGUUUAGUGUUCACGUAUGGGUUCUGUUUAUUGUAAUGUGAAAUAACUUAUGUAUGCAUAUUAAAAAAAAUCAGUUUGCUCUUAAAUGACAGGGGGGCACAUUCUGUACCUAGCAAAAUACCUUUUUGACAUAGAUCUGCAAAGUUUGAAAAUGUCCGAUAGCAAUCGGAUUUGGCUAAGCUUUAGUGCUCUCACAUGGGUUCCAGUUUUUAUAAUAUGAAAUAACUUCUUUGCAUGCUGAAACUUUGUUGACUUCCUUUCCAGUAUAUUGAUUAAUUUGGUUGCUCUAAAAAUCAGCUCAUAGGAUAGUGCAAGA
Molecule: non-coding RNA, 2567 nt
Organism: Lolium perenne
Lineage: Eukaryota; Viridiplantae; Streptophyta; Magnoliopsida; Poales; Poaceae
Source: RefSeq, a predicted model, not a curated record